GGACGGGUGAGUAAUGUCUGGGAAACUGCCUGAUGGAGGGGGAUAACUACUGGAAACGGWAGCUAWUACCGCAUAACGUCSCAAGACCAAAGAGGGGGACCUUCGGGCCUCUUGCCAUCAKAUGUGCCCAGAUGGGAUUAKCUAKUAGGUGGGGUAACGGCUCWCCUAGGCGACGAUCCCUAGCUGGUCUGAGAGGAUGACCASCCACACUGGAACUGAGACACGGUCCASACUCCUACGGGAGGCAGCAGUGGGGAAUAUUGCACAAUGGGCGCAAGCCUGAUGCASCCAUGCCGCGUGUAUGAARAAGGCCUUCGGGUUGUAAAGUACUUUCAGCGGGGAGGAAGGUGUUGUGGUUAAUAACCACAGCAAUUGACGUUACCCGCAGAARAAGCACCGGCUAACUCCGUGCCAGCAGCCGCGGUAAUACGGAGGGUGCAAGCGUUAAUCGGAAUUACUGGGCGUAAAGCGCACGCAGGCGGUCUGUCAAGUCRGAUGUGAAAUCCCCGGGCUCWACCUGGGA
This 523-nucleotide ribosomal RNA is filed under the name Enterobacter sp. RNAcentral's name for it is "partial 16S ribosomal RNA". It matches the Rfam family "Bacterial small subunit ribosomal RNA", at positions 100 to 619 of the family's 1533-position model. The record is from RNAcentral. Lineage: Bacteria; Pseudomonadati; Pseudomonadota; Gammaproteobacteria; Enterobacterales; Enterobacteriaceae.